AGCGAGUUUCAUGGCGGCCCGUACCCUAAACCGACUCAGGUAGUCAGGUAGAGAAUACCGAGGCGUUCGGGUGAACUAUGGUUAAGGAACUCGGCAAAAUGCCCCCGUAACUUCGGGAGAAGGGGGGCCAUCACUGGUGAUCCGAUUUACUCGGUGAGCUGGGGGUGGCCGCAGAGACCAGCGAGAAGCGACUGUUUACUAAAAACACAGGUCCGUGCGAAGCCGUAAGGCGAUGUAUACGGACUGACGCCUGCCCGGUGCUGGAACGUUAAGGGGACCGGUUAGCUGACUUUCGGGUCGGCGAAGCUGAGAACUUAAGCGCCAGUAAACGGCGGUGGUAACUAUAACCAUCCUAAGGUAGCGAAAUUCCUUGUCGGGUAAGUUCCGACCUGCACGAAUGGCGUAACGACUUCUCGACUGUCUCAACCAUAGGCCCGGUGAAAUUGCACUACGAGUAAAGAUGCUCGUUUCGCGCAGCAGGACGGAAAGACCCCGGGACCUUUACUAUAGUUUGAUAUUGGUGUUCGGUUCGGCUUGUGUAGGAUAGGUGGGAGACUUUGAAGCGGCCACGCCAGUGGUUGUGGAGUCGUCGUUGAAAUACCACUCUGGUCGUGCUGGAUGUCUAACCUGGGUCCGUGAUCCGGAUCAGGGACAGUGUCUGAUGGGUAGUUUAACUGGGGCGGUUGCCUCCUAAAGAGUAACGGAGGCGCCCAAAGGUUCCCUCAGCCUGGUUGGCAAUCAGGUGUUGAGUGUAAGUGCACAAGGGAGCUUGACUGUGAGACCGACGGGUCGAGCAGGGACGAAAGUCGGGACUAGUGAUCCGGCAGUGGCUUGUGGAAGCGCUGUCGCUCAACGGAUAAAAGGUACCCCGGGGAUAACAGGCUGAUCUUCCCCAAGAGUCCAUAUCGACGGGAUGGUUUGGCACCUCGAUGUCGGCUCGUCGCAUCCUGGGGCUGGAGUCGGUCCCAAGGGUUGGGCUGUUCGCCCAUUAAAGCGGUACGCGAGCUGGGUUUAGAACGUCGUGAGACAGUUCGGUCCCUAUCCGCUGUGCGCGUAGGAAUAUUGAGAAGGGCUGUCCCUAGUACGAGAGGACCGGGACGGACGAACCUCUGGUGUGCCAGUUGUCCUGCCAAGGGCAUGGCUGGUUGGCUACGUUCGGAAAGGAUAACCGCUGAAAGCAUCUAAGCGGGAAGCCUGCUUCGAGAUGAGUAUUCCCACCACCUUGAGUGGUUAAGGCUCCCAGUAGACGACUGGGUUGAUAGGCCAGAUGUGGAAGCCCGGUAACGGGUGGAGCUGACUGGUACUAAUAGGCCGAGGGCUUGUCCUCAGUUG
Molecule: ribosomal RNA, 1332 nt
Filed under: Streptomyces sp. FT05W
Lineage: Bacteria; Bacillati; Actinomycetota; Actinomycetes; Kitasatosporales; Streptomycetaceae
Description: bacterial LSU rRNA
Rfam family: Bacterial large subunit ribosomal RNA
Source: RNAcentral